This 23-nucleotide non-coding RNA is filed under the name Arabidopsis thaliana (thale cress). Lineage: Eukaryota; Viridiplantae; Streptophyta; Magnoliopsida; Brassicales; Brassicaceae. The record is from RNAcentral.
ACUCUAGAUAUAAGCCAGUCAAC